GUCUUUUUGAAAUUAAUUUMAAGUCUAACCUGCCAAGUGAAAAUUUAACGGCCGCAGUAUUUUGACUGUGCGAAGGUAGCAUAAUCAAUAGUUUUUUAAUUAAAAACUGGAAUGAAGGGUUGGAUAAGAAAUUAACUGUCUUAAUUUUAAUUUUUUAAAAUUUUAUUUUUAAVUUWAAAAGCUUAAAUAAGUUUUAAAGACGAGAAGACCCUAUAGAAUUUUAUAAUUAUAUUAUUUCAAUUUUAAGGAUUAGAAAUUUUUAAUUAAUUAGAUUAUUUAAUUGGGGUGAUUAUAAAAUUUAAUAAACUUUUAUUAAUAUUAUCAAAAAUUUUUGUUUAUUUGAUCCAUUUUUAUGAUUAAAAGAUUAAAUUACCUUAGGGAUAACAGCGUAAUUUUUUUUGAAAGUUCUUAUUGAAAAAAAAGAUUGCGACCUCGAUGUUGGAUUAAAAUUAGUUUUAGAUGAAGAAGUUUAAUAACUAAGUCUGUUCGACUUUUAAUUUUUUACA
Molecule: ribosomal RNA, 506 nt
Filed under: Bystus fibulatus
Lineage: Eukaryota; Metazoa; Arthropoda; Insecta; Coleoptera; Endomychidae
Description: partial 16S ribosomal RNA
Source: RNAcentral